Molecule: ribosomal RNA, 492 nt
Filed under: uncultured bacterium
Lineage: Bacteria
Description: partial 16S ribosomal RNA
Rfam family: Bacterial small subunit ribosomal RNA
Source: RNAcentral
AGUGAACGCUGGCGGUAGGCCUAACACAUGCGAGUCGAACGGCAGCACAGUAAGAGCUUGCUCUUACGGGUGGCGAGUGGCGGACGGGUGAGGAAUACAUCGGAAUCUACUUUUUCGUGGGGGAUAACGUAGGGAAACUUACGCUAAUGCCGCAUACGACCUACGGGUGAAAGCAGGGGAUCUUCGGACCUUGCGCGAUUGAAUGAGCCGAUGUCGGAUUAGCUAGUUGGCGGGGUAAAGGCCCACCAAGGCGACGAUCCGUAGCUGGUCUGAGAGGAUGAUCAGCCACACUGGAACUGAGACACGGUCCAGACUCCUACGGGAGGCAGCAGUGGGGAAUAUUGGACAAUGGGCGCAAGCCUGAUCCAGCCAUACCGCGUGGGUGAAGAAGGCCUUCGGGUUGUAAAGCCCUUUUGUUGGGAAAGAAAAGCAGCAGGUUAAUACCCCGCUGUUCUGACGGUACCCAAAGAAUAAGCACCGGCUAACUUCGUG